Long non-coding RNA from Oreochromis niloticus (Nile tilapia), 2929 nucleotides. Lineage: Eukaryota; Metazoa; Chordata; Actinopteri; Cichliformes; Cichlidae. The record is from Ensembl.
AAACAUUUGAUCUAUGGUGAUUCCUUAUUUAUAAAACCUUUCUAUUUAGAGAUUACAAGGUAAACUGGUGGAAAUAAAAUCUUGUUGUGAAAAUAACAUUCAUUAAAAGCUAACUUAAAGCUUCUGUUCUUCAGGGCUGCAGGAGGCUGUCAGCGUGUUUAAAAGAAUAAAAGCAGCAUGUUGUUUUAACCUGCUCCAGUUGGUCUCGUUAGGCAGUGGAAGAUGGUUUGUGUGUGCUAGAAAUAUGAAUUUACUUUUAGAAAAUAAAAUUGCCUAGUGAUAUAUAGGAUAAAGGUUUGGGAAAGUUUAAUUAAAUUAAGCCAAGGAUUAAGAGGACACGGGUUAUUUUUUGGUUUUUUUUAAAGGUGAACCAAGACUCUUUAACAUUUGGGUAAAGAGCAACUCUUUGGAAUGUAAACUUGUUUGAAUGCAGAGUAGAAUGCAAAAACUGGGCAGUGAUGACAACGUUUUAUUAUUAUUCGAAAUAGAAGCAUCUCUCCUUAGAGCCUGAUGUUCUGAUGCAACUCUAUUCUGCAUGUGAUAGUAAAUACAGGCACACACUGGCUGCAUUGCCACAAGUUACCGUUCGUGUUGCUCAUAGGCAGGUUUUUAACCCAGUGACAUCCAGUGAAAUUAUUAUAAAGGAGCUGUUUUCAUCUAAGAAAAUGAGCAACAAAAGCGUAGGCGCAUUUUUUUCCUCCACAACAAAUUCUCAGUGGAGUGGUCCAGGCAAAUCAUUUGACGAAGAUGAUGGUGAAAUUGAGGAAGAAAUUAUAGAUGACAUUGAAGAGAACUGUGAGAAUAAUUUAGAAGAGGACAAAUCUGAUCAUCUCUACAAAUUUGAAAAAGAGAAGUCAGAAUUUGAAAACGAAGCAGAAAAAAGCAAAGAGUCUGAGAAAUCUGGUGAUUUUUGGGACGCCCCCAAGAAACAGGGCGGAGACUCGUCUGCUCACGACCACUUUGAAGAGGAAUUCAAAGAGGAAUCUGAGGGAGCUGCUGGUUUUCAGGAAGACCCUGUUUCAGUGGACAAGUCUGAAAUGGGAUAUGAAUAUGACUGUGAAGAGCACGAUGGUCCUGAAAAGUCUGAGACAAGUGCUGGUCUUCUCAAACAGCUGGAAGAAGACAAGCUUGCUCUCCAAAAGGAGUUAGAAAUAGAAAAAGAGGCUAAAUCUCAACAGGAGGAAGCUUUUAAAAAGCUGCAAGAGGAAAAUGAUCGUCUUGAAAACGCUGUGAAAAAAGAGCGUGAUGAACUGAAGCGCAUGAAGACAAAAGUGGCUGAUCUAAAGAAGUCACAGAAAGAAUACCGGAGCAGCACUGAGGACCUUAAAACCAGAAUUAGUCAAAUGAUGGCCAACACUGAUGAGGACAAGAAGACGAUCAAGAAACUCCACAAAGAUCUGAUGAUGUCCUCACUUAAACAUGAAAAUGAAAAUGCAGAGGCCGCUGAUAUUAAGGCACUAGAGGAUCGUCUCAUUGAGCAGCAGAAACAAAACCUGGGAAAAGACGAUGAAAUACAGUCGCUGCGCCUCAAAGUCCAAAACCUUCAGGAUGAUAGCGAGGCCAAGGACACCAUGAUUUUAAGGCUGCAGGAAAACGUUAACGAGUGGGCAUCAGACGUCCAGAAAGAACAAGAGAAGAACUCUGAACUUCAGAGGAGCUACGAUAAAACACAAAAGCUGAAUCGACUGACCUCGGAAAAUCAGGACCUGUCUUCUGAAAACCAGACCCUGCGAGACGAAGUUGAGUUUCUCAAAAAUGAGAGGCAGCUUAUGCAAAAAGAUCUCGAUGAAGAGAAAGGGGCUCGCAGAGAACUUGAGAAGACUGUUAAGGAGGAGAAAUCUCGGUUUUCUCAAGUAUAUAAAAAGUUACAGAUGAAAGAGAAAGAGCUGUCAGAGAAGACGUUAGCUCCACCUGGGCAGAGAAGAACUUCUAAAUCUGCAGAGCAUCUUCUCUAUGACAUGGAGACACUAAAGAUGGAGAACGCGAAUCUUACAGCUAAAUUAGAGGCUGUGGAAAAUCAGUAUAGUGGAGCAAAGUUUAAACACGAAGCUCUCCCUGAGCAGCACCGAGACAAGCUCCUGCAAAAUGUAGAUGAGCUCGAAGCACGGCAGUCUGAGAGAGAUACUGUGCAGAAAGAACUCGAAAUCACUCUAAAAGAAAAGAAGAAUCAAACCUCUCAAUUACAGCAGAGAGUUGGUGCUCUUGAAAAGGAGCUCAAGAUAAGCGAGAAGCAGCGUUCUAAGUUCGAGGACGUUUUGGCCAAGUACAUAGAAACCCUGGAAGAAAAGCAAGAAUUGUCUGUGACCUUCCAGAAAAGUCAAGACAGCACCAGGGUCCAGGAACAAAAAAUUAGUGACAAUGAGCACAAAAUCGCUCUGGAUCAGUGCACAAAGGCUUUAUACAACCUACAGAAGGAAUACGUCGAUCUAGCCAAGAAACACAGUGGCAUUAAUGACGAUUGCAGGGAGCUGCUUAAAACCCACACUGCUCUCCAAAUCAAAUAUGACAGGCUGACCUACACAAAAGAAAACCAGAAUUAAGAAUUAAAAAUAAAUUCAAAACACUAAUAAAAAAGCAGUAAACUGGUUUGUCUCUUUGUCUGUUUUGAAAACUGAAGUUUCUCAUUUUUAGGGCUUGGCAAUCAGUAGGUGGAGUCUAUUCCCCACAGUAGCCCCCAUUCACACAGGCUUAGAGACCUAUCAGUGACCAUAUCACACUCACUGUAGCUCGAGAUACCUUACAAACAAGAUCGUCGUAUGCAUCUUGCAUCAGGACCAUCCUCCUCCCUUCAUUGGUCCAUAAAGUUCAGUUCAGUUCUGCUCUGUUUCAAUAAAAUACCAAUGAAUAGCUGGGCCCACGUCCUCAUUUUAGGUUUGACAGCAUUUUUUACUAGAUAAAGGCGAAUGGCUUAAACAAGAAUUGAGCUGCG